AACGAACGCUGGCGGCAUGCCUGACACAUGCAAGUCGAACGAGACCUUCGGGUCUAGUGGCGCACGGGUGCGUAACGCGUGGGAACCUGCCCUUAGGUUCGGAAUAACUCCCCGAAAGGGGUGCUAAUACCGGAUAAUGUCUUCGGACCAAAGAUUUAUCGCCUUUGGAUGGGCCCGCGUUGGAUUAGCUAGUUGGUAGGGUAAAAGCCUACCAAGGCGACGAUCCAUAGCUGGUCUGAGAGGAUGAUCAGCCACACUGGGACUGAGACACGGCCCAGACUCCUACGGGAGGCAGCAGUGGGGAAUAUUGGACAAUGGGCGAAAGCCUGAUCCAGCAAUGCCGCGUGAGUGAUGAAGGCCUUAGGGUUGUAAAGCUCUUUUACCUGGGAUGAUAAUGACAGUACCGGGAGAAUAAGCUCCGGCUAACUCCGUG
Molecule: ribosomal RNA, 433 nt
Filed under: uncultured bacterium
Lineage: Bacteria
Description: partial 16S ribosomal RNA
Rfam family: Bacterial small subunit ribosomal RNA
Source: RNAcentral